GCCUUAGUAGCGGCGAGUGAAGCGGCAAUAGCUCAAAUUUGAAAUCUGGCGCCUUCGGUGUCCGAGUUGUAAUUUGAAGAAGGUAUCUUUGGUUUUGGCUCUUGUCUAUGUUCCUUGGAACAGGACGUCACAGAGGGUGAGAAUCCCGUGCGAUGAGAUGCCCAAUUCCAUGUAAAGUUCCUUCGACGAGUCGAGUUGUUUGGGAAUGCAGCUCUAAGUGGGUGGUAAAUUCCAUCUAAAGCUAAAUAUUGGCGAGAGACCGAUAGCGAACAAGUACUGUGAAGGAAAGAUGAAAAGAACUUUGAAAAGAGAGUGAAAAAGUACGUGAAAUUGUUGAAAGGGAAGGGCUUGAGAUUAGACUUGGAAUUUUCCAUUUUUGGAGCUUUCCGGGCCAGCAUCAGUUUGGAUGGCAGGAUAAUUGCGUUGGAAAGUAACACUACUUCGGUGGUGUAUUAUAGACUUCGUCGAUACUGCCUAUCUAGACUGAGGACCGCGUCUUUGACUAGGAUGCUGGCGUAAUGAUCUUAAGCCGCCCGUCUUGAAACACGGACCAAGGAGUCUAACGUCUAUGCGAGUGUUUGGGUG
This 585-nucleotide ribosomal RNA is filed under the name Yamadazyma friedrichii. RNAcentral describes it as "[Candida] friedrichii partial large subunit ribosomal RNA". It matches the Rfam family "Eukaryotic large subunit ribosomal RNA", at positions 77 to 700 of the family's 3401-position model. The record is from RNAcentral. Lineage: Eukaryota; Fungi; Ascomycota; Pichiomycetes; Serinales; Debaryomycetaceae.